UCUCCGUUGGUGAACCAGCGGAGGGAUCAUUACCGAGUUUACAACUCCCAAACCCCUAUGUGAACGUUACCAGACUGUUGCCUCGGCGGGAAAUUCAUGCCCCGGGCGCGUCGCAGCCCCGGACCAAGGCGCCCGCCGGAGGACCAACCAAAACUCUUUUGUAUGUCCCUCGCGGACUUUUAUAAUUCUGAACCAUCUCGGCGCCCCCAGCGGGCGUUUCGAAAAUGAAUCAAAACUUUCAACAACGGAUCUCUUGGUUCUG
This 262-nucleotide unclassified non-coding RNA is filed under the name plant metagenome. RNAcentral's name for it is "partial contains small subunit ribosomal RNA, internal transcribed spacer 1, and 5.8S ribosomal RNA". The record is from RNAcentral.